CGGCGUGCCUAAUACAUGCAAGUCGAGCGCAUUGAAGGGAGCUUGCUCCCGGAUGUGAGCGGCGGAUGGGUGAGUAACACGUGGGUAACCUGCCUGUCAGAUUGGGAUAACUGUGGGAAACCGCAGCUAAUACCGAAUGAUCCCCUGCACCACAUGGUGCAGGGUUGAAAGAUGGUUUCGGCCAUCACUGACAGAUGGGCCCGCGGUGCAUUAGUUAGUUGGCGGGGUAACGGCCCACCAAGACAGCGAUGCAUAGCCGACCUGAGAGGGUGAUCGGCCACAUUGGGACUGAGACACGGCCCAAACUCCUACGGGAGGCAGCAGUAGGGAAUCUUCCACAAUGGACGAAAGUCUGAUGGAGCAACGCCGCGUGAGCGAAGAAGGUUUUCGGAUCGUAAAGCUCUGUUGCCGGAGAAGAAUGAGUAUGAGAGGAAAUGCUUGUACUGUGACGGUAUCCGGCCAGAAAGCCACGGCUAACUACGUGCCAGCAGCCGCGGUAAUACGUAGGUGGCAAGCGUUGUCCGGAAUUAUUGGGCGUAAAGCGCGCGCAGGCGGCUUCUUAAGUCUGAUGUGAAAUCUUGCGGCUCAACCGCAAAUGGUCAUUGGAAACUGGGAAGCUUGAGUGCAGAAGAGGAGAGUAGAAUUCCACGUGUAGCGGUGAAAUGCGUAGAUAUGUGGAGGAAUACCAGUGGCGAAGGCGGCUCUCUGGUCUGUAACUGACGCUGAGGCGCGAAAGCGUGGGGAGCAAACAGGAUUAGAUACCCUGGUAGUCCACGCCGUAAACGAUGAAUGCUAGGUGUUAGGGGGUCCAACCCUUAGUGCUGAAGUUAACACAUUAAGCAUUCCGCCUGGGGAGUACGACCGCAAGGUUGAAACUCAAAGGAAUUGACGGGGGCCCGCACAAGCAGUGGAGCAUGUGGUUUAAUUCGAAGCAACGCGAAGAACCUUACCAGGUCUUGACAUCCUCUGACAAGUCUAGAGAUAGGCCGUUCCCCUUCGGGGGACAGAGUGACAGGUGGUGCAUGGUUGUCGUCAGCUCGUGUCGUGAGAUGUUGGGUUAAGUCCCGCAACGAGCGCAACCCUUGAUCUUAGUUGCCAGCAUUCAGUUGGGCACUCUAAGGUGACUGCCGGUGACAAACCGGAGGAAGGUGGGGGAUGACGUCAAAUCAUCAUGCCCCUUAUGAUCUGGGCUACACACGUGCUACAAUGGGUGGUACAAAGGGCAGCGAAACCGCGAGGUCAAGCGAAUCCCAUAAAGCCACCCCCAGUUCGGAUUGCAGGCUGCAACUCGCCUGCAUGAAGCCGGAAUUGCUAGUAAUCGCGGAUCAGCAUGCCGCGGGUGAAUCCGUUCCCGGGCCUUGUACACACCGCCCGUCACACCACGAAGAGUUUGUAACACCCCGAAGUCCGGUGCGAGAACCCUUUAUGGGCUCAG
This 1435-nucleotide ribosomal RNA is filed under the name Sporolactobacillus nakayamae subsp. nakayamae. RNAcentral's name for it is "bacterial SSU rRNA". It matches the Rfam family "Bacterial small subunit ribosomal RNA". Lineage: Bacteria; Bacillati; Bacillota; Bacilli; Caryophanales; Sporolactobacillaceae. The record is from RNAcentral.